RNAcentral lists this microRNA precursor (101 nucleotides) under Anopheles gambiae (African malaria mosquito). Its description in RNAcentral is "microRNA aga-mir-1891 precursor". The stretch from base 8 to 94 matches the Rfam family "mir-1891 microRNA precursor family". The record is from miRBase by way of RNAcentral. Lineage: Eukaryota; Metazoa; Arthropoda; Insecta; Diptera; Culicidae. RNAcentral also lists the same sequence under 1 other name.
GCCUCCUCUUUUUCCGUCAUGUUGAGGAGUUAAUUUGCGUGUUUUUAUAUUUGAUUAAACACGUCCAUUAACUCUGGUACAUGAUGGUAAAAGCGAGCAAC